RNAcentral lists this ribosomal RNA (357 nucleotides) under Geckolepis typica. RNAcentral's name for it is "partial 12S ribosomal RNA". It matches the Rfam family "Bacterial small subunit ribosomal RNA", at positions 882 to 1395 of the family's 1533-position model. Lineage: Eukaryota; Metazoa; Chordata; Lepidosauria; Squamata; Gekkonidae. The record is from RNAcentral.
ACAAGCGAAAAGCUUAAAACUCAAAAGACUUGACGGUGUUCCACACCGACCUAGAGGAGCCUGUCCUAUAAUCGACACCCCACGAUAAACCUCACCCCUAAUUGCAAAACCACAGCCUAUAUACCGCCGUCGUCAGCCUGCCUAAUGAUAGUCAACUAGCAGACAAAAUAGAACAACACUCGCUAAAACGUCAGGUCAAGGUGUAGCUCAUAUAGGGGCAGAGAUGGGCUACAUUAUCUACAACACUAGAUUACCACCAAAAGCAACAUGAAAAUCAAGCUAAAAGGCGGAUUUAGCAGUAAACCGGACAAGAUAAGUCCUAUUGAAAAUUCGCUCUGGAACGCGUACACACCGCCC